RNAcentral lists this ribosomal RNA (1504 nucleotides) under uncultured organism. RNAcentral describes it as "bacterial SSU rRNA". It matches the Rfam family "Bacterial small subunit ribosomal RNA". The record is from RNAcentral.
AGAGUUUGAUCCUGGCUCAGGACGAACGUUGGCGGCGUGCUUAACACAUGCAAGUCUGCGAGAAAGUUAUAGCAAUAUAGCGAGUAAAGCGGCGAAAGGGUGCGUAACGCGUAAGCAACUUGCCCAUAGGAUGGGGAUAACGUCGAGAAAUCGGCGCUAAUACCCAAUAAUGCAGCGGCAUCGCAUGGUGAUGUUGUUAAAGGUCGCUUCGGUGGCGCCUAUGGAUGGGCUUGCGUCUGAUUAGUUAGUUGGCGAGGUAACGGCUCACCAAGACGACGAUCAGUAGCUGGUCUGAGAGGAUGAUCAGCCACACUGGAACUGAGACACGGUCCAGACUCCUACGGGAGGCAGCAGUGAGGAAUAUUGGGCAAUGCCCGCAAGGGUGACCCAGCAACGCCGCGUGGAGGAUGACAGCCGUAAGGUUGUAAACUCCUGUUCGGGGGGACGAAUAACCGUCGUUUGCAAAGGCGACGGCUUGACGGUACCCUCAGAGAAAGCCCCGGCUAACUACGUGCCAGCAGCCGCGGUAAUACGUAGGGGGCAAACGUUGUCCGGAUUUACUGGGUGUAAAGGGCGCGCAGGCGGGUCGGUCAGUCAGAGGUGAAAGCCCACAGCUUAACUGUGGAACUGCCUUUGAUACUGCCGAUCUUGAGUGCGGGAGAGAGAAGCGGAAUUCCAGGUGUAGUGGUGAAAUACGUAGAUAUCUGGAAGAACACCGGUUGCGAAGGCGGCUUCUUGGACCGACACUGACGCUGAGGCGCGAAAGCGUGGGUAGCGAACAGGAUUAGAUACCCUGGUAGUCCACGCUGUAAACGAUGAAUGUUAGAUGUCGGGGGAUUUUUCCUUCGGCGUCAAAGUUAACGCAUUAAACAUUCCACCUGGGAAGUACGAUCGCAAGGUUGAAACUCAAAGGAAUUGACGGGGGCCCGCACAAGCAGUGGAGCAUGUGGUUUAAUUCGAUGCAACGCGAAGAACCUUACCUAGGCUUGAAAUGUGUUCGAUCGGUCGUGAAAGCGACCUUCCUUCGGGCGGACACACAGGUGCUGCAUGGCUGUCGUCAGCUCGUGCCGCGAGGUGUUGGGUUAAGUCCCGCAACGAGCGCAACCCCUACCAUUAGUUGCCACCGGGUAAUGCCGAGCACUCUAAUGGAACUGCCUACGCAAGUAGUGAGGAAGGUGGGGACGACGUCAAGUCCGCAUGGCCCUUACGCCUAGGGCUACACACGUGCUACAAUGGGCGCAACAAUGGGCAGCGAUACCGCGAGGUGGAGCGAAUCCCUAAAAAGCGUCCUCAGUUCGGAUUGGAGUCUGCAACUCGACUUCAUGAAGUUGGAAUUGCUAGUAAUCGCGUAUCAGCAUGACGCGGUGAAUACGUUCCCGGGCCUUGUACACACCGCCCGUCAAGCCAUGGAAGCCGGGGGUACCCAAAGAUAGCGACCCAACCUUCGGGAAGGAGCUAUUUAAGGUAAAACCGGUAACUGGGGCUAAGUCGUAACAAGGUAACC